RNAcentral lists this ribosomal RNA (709 nucleotides) under uncultured archaeon. Its description in RNAcentral is "bacterial SSU rRNA". It matches the Rfam family "Archaeal small subunit ribosomal RNA", at positions 81 to 792 of the family's 1478-position model. The record is from RNAcentral.
GCGGACGGCUCAGUAACACGUAGUCAACCUAACUCGUGGACGUGGAUAACCUCGGGAAACUGAGAAUAAACCACGAUAGAUCAUAGUGCCUGGAAUGGCUUAUGGUCCAAACAGUUUACUGCCAUGGGAUGGGACUGCGGCCUAUCAGUUUGUUGGUGAGGUAAUGGCCCACCAAGGCGAUUACAGGUACGGGCUCUGAGAGGAGAAGCCCGGAGAUGGGUACUGAGACACGGACCCAGGCCCUAUGGGGCGCAGCAGGCGAGAAACCUUAGCAAUGUGCGAAAGCACGACUGGGUCAGUCCGAGUGAUUCCUGAUAAAGGAGUCUUUUGCUUGUCCUAAAAGCACAGGUGAAUAAGGGGUGGGCAAGUCUGGUGUCAGCCGCCGCGGUAAUACCAGCACCUCGAGUGGUCAGGACGUUUAUUGGGCCUAAAGCAUCCGUAGCCGGCUUUGCAAGUCUUCGGUUAAAUCCACCUGCUCAACAGAUGGGCCGCUGGAGAUACUACAGAGCUAGGGAGUGGGAGAGGCAGACGGUAUUCAGUGGGUAGGGGUAAAAUCCUCUGAUCCAUUGAGGACCACCAGUGGCGAAGGCGGUCUGCCAGAACACGUUCGACGGUGAGGGAUGAAAGCUGGGGGAGCAAACCGGAUUAGAUACCCGGGUAGUCCCAGCUGUAAACGAUGCAAACUCGGUGAUGCAUUGGCUUAUGGCCA